RNA transcript from Chiroxiphia lanceolata (lance-tailed manakin), 3490 nucleotides. It is a transcript of the gene named eukaryotic elongation factor 2 lysine methyltransferase, with no coding region annotated. NCBI's taxonomy places the organism in Eukaryota, Metazoa, Chordata, Aves, Passeriformes, Pipridae. The record is from RefSeq and is a predicted model, not a curated record. The transcript has 9 exons.
GGCCCUGCCCGGCCCUGCCCGGCUCUGCGCCGCCGGGGCCAUGGCCGGGCCCGAGCCGGGACUGCGGCUCCGCUUCCAGCGGCGGUUCCUGGCGGCGCGGCCGCUCCGCUCGCUGCCCUGGCCGGAGCUGGAACAAAACCUGCGGGCUGCGCCGGACUCGCCCCUGCUCCGGGAUAUCCUGCACCAGACCAUCCUCCACCCUCUGUGUGUGAAAUAUCCCCCCUCAACCAAGUACAGGAGAUGCUUUCUGACUGAGCUCAUAAAAAAGCACGAAUCCACAGCAGCUGAACCCCUGGAUGAACUGUAUAAUACACUGGCAGAUGUUUUAAAAGAAGAAGAAUCUACUCAGUGUUACAAAAACUACUUACUGCCCACAGGAGACUGUGUGACCCUUUGUGAGAGCACAGCCAUGAUCUCUGGGGGCACCACAGGGCUCGUCACGUGGGAGGCUGCUCUGCACCUCGCCGGGUGGGCAGGGGGCAACCCCGAGGUGUUCAGGGCCAGGACAGUCUUGGAAUUAGGAAGUGGGAUUGGCUUCACUGGAAUUGCCAUCUGUAAGACCUGCCAACCCAAGACAUACAUAUUUAGUGACUGCCACCCCUGUGUUCUCAGACAGCUGGGAGAGAACAUCCGUCUCAAUGGCUUCCAAGUGACCUGGUGUAUCCAAACAGAGCCCCAAGGGCAGGAGGUGGAAGCAAAGAACUGCCAAACCCCAAAACUGAUGGUUGCAGAACUUGACUGGGGCUCAGUGACAGAGGAACAGCUGGUGGGUCUCCAACCUGACGUGGUCAUCGCAGCAGAUGUGGUGUAUGAUCCAGAGAUAAUUUUAGUCCUCAUUGGGAUGCUACAGAAACUCUCCACCUGCAGAGCAGACAGAAAAGCUCCCGAGGUCUUCAUUGCCUUCACACUCCGUAACCCAGACACGUAUCACCUGUUCCAGGCUGAACUGGAUAAAGUCGAGAUCAGGUGGCAGAUUAUUCCAGCCCACGGCAACAGUAAUUUUCUCUAUGAUGUGCAGCCAAAUGUAACUAUUCUCCAGCUAUUUAUAUAGGCUUGGCAAAUAAAAUUAGAAUUUUGAGACCAACAGGAGCUAUGUCAUCCUUGCAACAAGAUUAUCCUGAGUUCUGGAAGCACAUACCAGAGGUGCUGGACUGUACACAUGGGCUGUUGUCAAUGUGAGUUGUUUCUUCCUGUAAUUUCCAGCAUUUCUGCAAAGAAGCUGCUGCUCCUGAAAAGAGUGACCCUGAAAAUAAGCUGGAACGUGCACAGGCAGCUGUAUUUCAGCACAGAAGAGACAAAGAGUGCAAAGAACAGGCUAAAACAGCAACAGGUACUAAGCCAACUUUUUGGGAUAACAGUGAAUAGCCAGAGAAAUUCAACAUUUUUGCUGGAAUGAGUCAAAGCCACGAGUCUCCUGUCACUAACCAAGCACUCAUUGCUAUAUUCUACCAGGUUCUGUGCACAGUCUGUAUCAGUUCUCUGCCCCUGUGCCAAGUUGUUUUUCACAUGUUCUCCAGCCUGUUUCAUCACCCACUAUUUACCAAGCAAAAGAGGGUAAUCCUCAGCUUCCAGCCACGGUGUACAGAUCUGGAUAUGUUUAAAGUGCAGUUUCUGUAUCAGUCCAUUGUAGUAGUCUUUUAGAGGUCCUUUACCUGUUUAAAACAGAAAAGAAAAAUAUUUAGUAGUUUUUCAUCAAGAUGAUUGAAAAUAGUGUGGUCUGUGAAUUUUACUGUACAGCUGCUGAGCUCCUGUUGUAUCAGGUACGUCCAAAAGGACACCACACAUGAUCCUCCAAAAGACACAUAAAUAUCCAAGUCCCUUCCACAGUGAUGUGUACCUAGAGUUUAAACUGUUCUGAACAUGGAGUAGUGCAGAACUGUAGUAGGGACAGUGAGCAGAGAGGGAGGCCAAGAGCUUCUCCUCUGAAAAUGUGCCAUGAUUACAUCGUGUGAGUUCAACUAUAAAUUCAACUAUAAAUUACCAUUCUUAUAACCAGACAUAAAGACAAUAGUCUCUUCUCACCAUCAGAAGAGCCAGCACAGAACAAAAGUGAAAAUGAAUGUUCUGUAUCAGCACUGAAAGAAUUGCAACACAAACAGACCCUUACCUGUUAUCACACACACCAGAGCUGGAAGCUUGGCUCCCUCAUCAAUAAACCUCUCAUAGUCUGGAGGAGAUAAAACACUGCUUGGAGGCCACAAAUACACAGAUGGUUGGUUUAACAGUGGUCACAGUGUAUUAAUUAUUUAGCUUCCUACUACAAGUAAUUUCUUUACAGGCAUGUACUUAGUAAAACAGUAGUAAAUUCAGCAAUGUUAAAAUUUACAAACUUGUACAGAAAUAAAUCAUGCUCUGUUUAUGCAGCAAGCAUUUGUUCAACUGCCCCACAAUCAGCUGCUUCAAUAGAUCAAUUUACAAUUGCCAGCUGCAAAGCCUACAAAAUAAGACAAAGUAUUCCCUUCCUUCCUAUUAGCAGAUGCCUAUGGAGAGUAUCUGUAAUAGCUUAAGAAAUAAAACUGCAAUUUAGAAGCUAGUUAGAGAUUUAAUUCUCCCUGACAACUCCUCUAAUUGAAUCCAGAUGUUGCCCUUCUGUAUUUCAAUUACUACUCUUAAACCAGUGCUACUUAAUCAAAUACAGCUGCAUUUUCACCUGAAUAGGGUUUAGCAAAACCCUUUUUAAGUGUCCAGAAAACAACCCUUGGAAAAAUGAGAUUAAUUCCUUCAUACCCACCUUCUAAAGCUUUUAAAAGGACAGAGAAGUCUUCAUCCUCUGAAAGAGAAGGCUUUAUUAGUGACAUCCAUAUUUGUAUCAUUUAUGAUGAAUUACUGUCUUUAAAUAACAACAGUCAGACUCACCUCACCUCACCAACAUUGAUUUAGUACAGACCAUGCUUUUCCUAUUAAAAUCUGCUGAUUUGCUUUCAUAAAUAAAAGUCUAUAACCACAGACACUGUUUAUUUGCUUCCCUUGCUGGCAAUAUGGCAGACAAACCACUCACAACUGCUGCACAUCUUCAAAGCUAUCAAGUUACAAUUUUCUAGUUUCUAAAACUAAAGAAUUGAGUGCAAAAACUGCCCUGACAAUUCAAAGAUAAAGACAAUUCUGCCAAUUCUGCCCCUGGUUACUAGCAAUGGAAUUUUUUUGCCUCUGUGUGAAGAAGGGAACAGAAAAUGGAAACAAGUGACAUAAUUAUGUAACACACAUUAUCAGAAAUCAUGGAAUCACAGACUGGUUUGGGUUGGAAGGGACCUUAAAACUCAUCUUGUCCCAAGCCCUACCAUGGGCAGGGACACCUUCCAUUAGACCAGGGUGCUCAAUAAGGAGUAAAUAUUUUAAUUUCUUAAACUAUUCUAUGCCACCCUGCAAGAUAGUAUGUCUAGAAUGAAAGCAAAAAAAGAAGUAGGAAAUCUCUUCAACCAUCCUUAAAGCUGAGCCUCUAGACUGUAGCUCUAUAAUUAAAACAUAACUUUAAAAAAUCAUUGAUUUUCAG